This is a non-coding RNA of Phthorimaea operculella (potato tuberworm), 65 nucleotides long. The record is from the annotation of a GenBank genome assembly. NCBI's taxonomy places the organism in Eukaryota, Metazoa, Arthropoda, Insecta, Lepidoptera, Gelechiidae.
AACUUUGUGGUUAGUAAGACUGCCUGCCACGCAGAUGGUACCGGGUUCAAUUCCCGGUGGGGUCA